AAUAGAUACCCAGGUAGUCUACGCCGUAAACGAUGCGCACUAGGUUCGAAGGUCUCUGACGAUCCUCGAGCCGAAACAAAAGCGUUAAGUGCGCCGCCUGGGGAGUACGGCCGCAAGGCUAAAACUCAAAGGAAUUGACGGGGGCUCACACAAGCGGUGGAGCAUGUGGAUCAAUUCGAAGCAACGCGAAGAACCUUACCUGGGUUUGACAUGUACGGAUGCCCUCGGGGAAACUCGAGUAAGCUGCCUUCGGGUGAAACGUAUACAGGUGCUGCAUGGCUGUCGUCAGCUCGUGCUGUGAAGUGUCGGGUUAAGUCCCUUAACGAGCGAAACCCUUAUCGCUAGUUGCCAGCGGGUCAUGCCGGGAACUCUAGUGAGACUGCCGGCGUCAAGCCGGAGGAAGGCGGGGACGACGUCAAGUCAUCAUGGCCUUUAUGCCCAGGGUGUCACACGUGCUACAAUGGGGUGGUACAGAGCGACGCAAGACCGCAAGGUGGAGCAAAUCGCAGAAAACACCCCUCAGUUCGGAUCG
This 532-nucleotide ribosomal RNA is filed under the name uncultured bacterium. Its description in RNAcentral is "bacterial SSU rRNA". It matches the Rfam family "Bacterial small subunit ribosomal RNA", at positions 777 to 1300 of the family's 1533-position model. The record is from RNAcentral.